This 500-nucleotide ribosomal RNA is filed under the name uncultured bacterium. RNAcentral describes it as "partial 16S ribosomal RNA". It matches the Rfam family "Bacterial small subunit ribosomal RNA", at positions 30 to 523 of the family's 1533-position model. The record is from RNAcentral.
AUUGAACGCUGGCGGCAUGCCUUACACAUGCAAGUCGAACGGCAGCACGGGGUCAACCCUGGUGGCGAGUGGCGAACGGGUGAGUAAUGCAUCGACACGUGCCCUGACGUGGGGGAUAACGUAGCGAAAGUUACGCUAAUACCGCAUAUUCUGUGAGCAGGAACGCAGGGGAUCGCAAGACCUUGUGCUUUAGGAGCGGCCGAUGUCGGAUUAGCUAGUUGGUGAGGUAAAGGCUCACCAAGGCGACGAACCGAAGCGGGUCGGAGAGGAUGAUCCGACACAAUGGGACUGAGACACGGCCCAGACUCCUACGGGAGGCAGCAGUGUGGAAUUAUGGACAAUGGGCGCAAGCCUGAUCCAGCCAUGCCGCGUGAGUGAAGAAGGCCUUCGGGUUGUAAAGCUCUUUCGCGAGGGAAGAAAUCGUACAGGCUAAUAUCCUGUGCGGAUGACGGUACCUUGAUAAGAAGCACCGGCUAACUACGUGCCAGCAGCCGCGGUAA